Molecule: long non-coding RNA, 2154 nt
Filed under: Citrus maxima (pomelo)
Lineage: Eukaryota; Viridiplantae; Streptophyta; Magnoliopsida; Sapindales; Rutaceae
Description: long non-coding RNA (CMAX_LNC003706)
Source: RNAcentral
UGGUUUCCAAAAAAGGAAAGAGAGAGGGACACGUGAGAGAGAGAGAGAGAGAAAGAGAACUGAUCCGGUUUGACCUGCCAAUCCGACCCGACCCGCGACCUUGACCCGGACGGAUCUCGCGAUUCCGGCAAUCUCACCGGCCGAUCUUGGUACCGAUCUGAAGCUUGGAAGCCGGCCGUAGUAACGCAGCCGUCCUGGUUGCCGGAAAAUGACUGGAACGCCGUCGUUUGAAGCUCGCAAAAUUCACGGCCAAAAACCCAUCACCAUCGCCGUCGAUUCGCCGGAGUUUGGGCACACCUCCAGCUGGGUUCUACUCCUCACGUCACCAGCAACAUUUUACGAUCAACCUUGUCACCUGAGACGGUCGGAUUGUCGACGAUCGGCCACUUGGAAAGCUCGCGGCUUUGGGAGCACGAUCCGCCGCCAUAGCCGCGCGUGGGAGGUCACCGCUAACACCAUUGGACUCAUCGAGGUCUGAAAUAUCAGACCUAGGCUUCCGGUCGUCGUUGACUGAAGUCCGGUCACCGUUGACCGGCAGGGGCAAUUCGGUAAAUUCAUAAAACUUUAGGGUGAAUUUGUAAUUUAUGGAAUCAGUGGAUAAAUUUGGUAAUUUUAGGUUAGGGCAGUGAGGUAAUUUGAGAUUUCGAGGGUAAUUUGAUAAUUUAAGCCGUUAAGGACAUUUUGGUAAUUUUACUUGCCGAGGGUAAUUUCGUAAUUUCUGACAUUGUUGUAAUUUCGUGAUCUGAAUUGAGGACAAUUUAGUAAUUGAAGAUUUUGAGGAUAAUUUGGUAAAAUAAUGAUGUUGGGAGCAUUUUGGUAAUUUUUGCAUGUUGGGGUAUUUUGGUAAUUUUUGUGCAUACAGGAAUAGUUUAUUAUUGAUAGAUAUUGGUUUCGAGAAUUAUUAUGUAAAAUUAGUUGUAUUUCAAGUUUACGGAGAAUGAUUAUGUCGUUUCAUUGAUUAGGAGGAUCCGCGAACGAGAAUCAACCUGCGGACGUUGUUGAUACCGAGUCUGGACUUCGUCACUGUGAGUGAAAUAUACAAAACCUAUUUUCAUAGUAUAUGCUGAUUUUAUGAUACAGUGCAGUAUGUUUUGAUAAAUAAGUAUUUGAUGCUUCAAUUUAAUGAUUUUUUAGAAAAUUGAUUUUUAUCUAUGUGUUGAUAUUUAUUGUUAUUAAGAAUGAGUUUGAUUAAUGAUUUUAUUAUCGUUUUUGAGUAAAUGCAUAAUAUUAGAAUUGAGUGGAUUUGAGAUAUGUUGAAUAAAAAGAAAAUGAGAUUUCAGAUGUGAUUAUAUGUUUAUGUACAUGUGUAUAAGUGUUGUUUGGAAAAUCAUUGGACAGUAUCCUUCCCCUCCAUAUACAGAGACACAGAUAAUACGAGAUGAAUACAGAGAUACAGAUGAGAUGAGGUAGAGGCAUUUGGGGCCUGUCUGAAUACACAUAGAGGCUUUAGGCCGUGUGUUUGGGCGUUUUUUCCUUUUGGGGACUUAUGCAUGCAGUAUGAUAAUUACAGAGAUACAGAUGUUGAGACACAUGAGAUAUGAGAUGAGAUUUCCCCAUCUAUCCAUUGUAGCUCCGGGGCAUGAUGGUUCCCUGAUUGCCCAUCCGUCGAGGUCCGGAUAUGAUGAGAUCAUUCCCCUGGGUACUUGUUUGAUGAUAGUUUUUAUUAUUCAGUAUUUGAUAUUAUAAGUAUUAUGAUUUCAUUGAUUUUAUUCAAAUUUAUGUAAUAUAGUUAUUUCUGUAAAUGAUUUGAAUUGAAUAUGUUUAUAUAAGUUCUCAUGAUAUUUUGAUGAAAUUGAUUUGAGAAAGAUUAAAUCACUUUAAAUAAAUUUAUUUUUUAAAAAAUUACUAUUCACUCACUGAGCUCACUAAGUUUUAUAUUCGCUUCGUUUUUAUUAUAUUUUUUCCCCCCACAGGAGAUUUGCAGGUACAUCAAUCGACCCAGCAACGAUAGUUAAAUUUGAAAUUGUGGCCACGUGAUGGUGCUAGGAGUCAUAGAUUUAAUAUUUUGAUAUUUGGGAUAUUGCGAAUUGUAUUUAUUUAUUAUAUUUUGUAAUUAAGGAUAACCAUUGUAUUUUAAUAUUAGAAUGAUUUGUGUGAUAUUUGAUAUGUUGACUUGAGAAGUUGGUUAUGAAAGAUGGAUGAAUAUUGAAUUAU